Molecule: long non-coding RNA, 1531 nt
Organism: Monodelphis domestica (gray short-tailed opossum)
Lineage: Eukaryota; Metazoa; Chordata; Mammalia; Didelphimorphia; Didelphidae
Source: RefSeq, a predicted model, not a curated record
ACAAUCCCAAUACCAUCUAUCACUAUAAAACCACAGAGUAGCGGCAGCCUUCAUCAGAGCUGCUCCUAGCUAAGAAAGGUGCAGCCUUGGUUUUCCUUCCAUCUUGGAGAUCAGGAGACCCUCACCCUUUCGUCCUGACUGUCACAGGCUUGAAGCCUCAGCCUCAGCCUUGCCUCGCCUCACCAAGUGUGUGGACCACAGAAUUAGAAACUCUAAGAGAAAUGUCAGGACACCAAAUACAGUCAGACUUGUACCAACUGAUGCUGAAUGAAGAAAACAGAAUCCAGAGAAUACACGCAAUUACUACAAGGAAUGAAACCGCCAUCAUGGCCACUUCCUCCAUGAUCCCAUCUUCAGAAUAUGAAGUCCCAUCCCAUAGAAAGUUGACAACCAUCAUCUACAUUUCCUCAGUCCUCUGUAUUCUCCUCCUGGCAACACUAUUUCUGUUUCUGGGACAGAGGCUGCUGGAUAAGCGCAAGUGCUCUGGUACCUACCGGCCCAGUGAUGAAGAGCAGGUAGGGGACUGUAUCCCAAGACAAUCCGGGAAGGAGCCCCCGAAGGAACGGCUCAUUUGAGCCCCCACCUCUACUCCCAUGCCUGUUUCUUGGGGGCCUGCCCACUGUGACAGCCCCCCUCAGUGGGCAUCUGGACUGACAAACAGGGCCCCAGAUGUCUAGAUCUAGAAGAGAGGGAGCAGAGCACUGAGGAGUGUGAUUUAAGCUGCCAACCACCUUCACCACCCUGCUAUGGCUAUGAUUUUUUGAUGACCUGUCGACCUUGGCCUGGGGUUGGCAGCUGUUCCUUCCUGGGCCUAGCAUCCUUCUUGUUUGCAACUCCUAUGCCCUCUAUUGUCAAAUAGUUCUCCUACCCUUCCAAUAUGGCCUCCCUGCCUUUCAGUUGUCUCUUGGCUAAGGCUCCGGACCCCCAGGAUUCCAAGGAUUACUCCUGGAGCUGAGUGCCCUAUUGGGGUUUGAGCUGGCACAAGGAGCCCAUGACUCCUCACCCCCAGAGGGGGAAAGGGCAGAGAUCUUGGUGCAAGUCAGCCCCAAGCCCUAGGUCAUAUUUUACAGCCUCCUUCCUUCCCUAAGCUUUGAGGCCACUCACUCUUUCUGAACCUCUGAAGUUAGGAGAAUAGUUAGUUCUUUAAGCUCCUAAAAUAAAUGCUGAGAAAUCUAUUCUACUGCCCUGAUGGACAACCUCCCUCCUCAGGGAGGCAGGACCUCCCUGCCCCAUAUCUCUUCCCCAUCACCCUUACCUCCUCUCCUCUCUUUUCUAACUCUCUAAGGGAAGAGCAGCUUCAUUUUUUGUAUAAAGAUGGUCUGAACAUUGGCAGGAAGCUGGAGAAAAAGACAAGUCUCCGGCGUACCCCCCCUUAGAGCAGGCGGGCCUGAGGAGUGGAGGGAAGUGUGGGCUGCCCAAGGGACACAGUCUAAAACUACGGCUGAGGACUUAAGAUUCAUCUUUGGGGCAAAGGGUUGCUCAUUCAAAAGUCCGCCUUGUUUUCCUCUUUUUAAUAAAGCUUUCCUCUAUA